Molecule: ribosomal RNA, 707 nt
Filed under: Enterobacter ludwigii
Lineage: Bacteria; Pseudomonadati; Pseudomonadota; Gammaproteobacteria; Enterobacterales; Enterobacteriaceae
Description: bacterial SSU rRNA
Rfam family: Bacterial small subunit ribosomal RNA
Source: RNAcentral
CCCNAACAAGGUGGAACUUGGGAGGUUGUGCCCUUGAGGCGUGGCUUCCGGAGCUAACGCGUUAAGUCGACCGCCUGGGGAGUACGGCCGCAAGGUUAAAACUCAAAUGAAUUGACGGGGGCCCGCACAAGCGGUGGAGCAUGUGGUUUAAUUCGAUGCAACGCGAAGAACCUUACCUACUCUUGACAUCCAGAGAACUUUCCAGAGAUGGAUUGGUGCCUUCGGGAACUCUGAGACAGGUGCUGCAUGGCUGUCGUCAGCUCGUGUUGUGAAAUGUUGGGUUAAGUCCCGCAACGAGCGCAACCCUUAUCCUUUGUUGCCAGCGGUCCGGCCGGGAACUCAAAGGAGACUGCCAGUGAUAAACUGGAGGAAGGUGGGGAUGACGUCAAGUCAUCAUGGCCCUUACGAGUAGGGCUACACACGUGCUACAAUGGCGCAUACAAAGAGAAGCGACCUCGCGAGAGCAAGCGGACCUCAUAAAGUGCGUCGUAGUCCGGAUUGGAGUCUGCAACUCGACUCCAUGAAGUCGGAAUCGCUAGUAAUCGUAGAUCAGAAUGCUACGGUGAAUACGUUCCCGGGCCUUGUACACACCGCCCGUCACACCAUGGGAGUGGGUUGCAAAAGAAGUAGGUAGCUUAACCUUCGGGAGGGCGCUUACCACUUUGUGAUUCAUGACUGGGGUGAAGUCGUAACAAAGGGGUAACCAA